CUAUUGGUGUUCGACUAAGCCAUGCAAGUCAUAUGUUCCUCGUGAACAUGGCAUACUGCUCAGUAACACGUGGAUAACCUGCCCUUGGGUCUGGGAUAACCCCGGGAAACUGGGGAUAAUACCGGAUAACGCAUAUGUGCUGGAAUGCUUUAUGCGUAAAACGGAUUCGUCCGCCCAAGGAUGGGUCUGCGGCCUAUCAGGUAGUAGUGGGUGUAAUGUACCUACUAGCCAACAACGGGUACGGGUUGUGAGAGCAAGAGCCCGGAGAUGGAUUCUGAGACAUGAAUCCAGGCCCUACGGGGCGCAGCAGGCGCGAAAACUUUACAAUGCGGGAAACCGUGAUAAGGGAACACCGAGUGCCAGCAUCAUAUGCUGGCUGUCCAGAUGUGUAAACUACAUCUGUUAGCAAGGGCCGGGCAAGACCGGUGCCAGCCGCCGCGGUAACACCGGCGGCCCGAGUGGUGACCGUUAUUAUUGGGUCUAAAGGGUCCGUAGCCGGUUUGGUCAGUCCUCCGGGAAAUCUGAUAGCUUAACUGUUAGGCUUUCGGGGGAUACUGCCAGGCUUGGAACCGGGAGAGGUAAGAGGUACUACAGGGGUAGGAGUGAAAUCUUGUAAUCCCUGUGAGACCACCUGUGGCGAAGGCGUCUUACCAGAACGGGUUCGACGGUGAGGGACGAAAGCUGGGGGCACGAACCGGAUUAGAUACCCGGGUAGUCCCAGCCGUAAACUAUGCUCGCUAGGUGUCAGGCAUGGCGCGACCGUGUCUGGUGCCGCAGGGAAGCCGUGAAGCGAGCCACCUGGGAAGUACGGCCGCAAGGCUGAAACUUAAAGGAAUUGGCGGGGGAGCACAACAACGGGUGGAGCCUGCGGUUUAAUUGGACUCAACGCCGGACAACUCACCGGGAACGACAGCAAUAUGUAGGCCAGGCUGAAGACCUUGCCUGAAUCGCUGAGAGGAGGUGCAUGGCCGUCGCCAGUUCGUACUGUGAAGCAUCCUGUUAAGUCAG
Molecule: ribosomal RNA, 1008 nt
Filed under: uncultured euryarchaeote
Lineage: Archaea; Methanobacteriati; Methanobacteriota
Description: bacterial SSU rRNA
Rfam family: Archaeal small subunit ribosomal RNA
Source: RNAcentral